Malaya genurostris is the source of this 748-nucleotide long non-coding RNA. RefSeq lists it as uncharacterized. The transcript has 3 exons. The record is from RefSeq and is a predicted model, not a curated record. NCBI's taxonomy places the organism in Eukaryota, Metazoa, Arthropoda, Insecta, Diptera, Culicidae.
GGACAGAAAAAAACAUUAUAAAUGUUUGGCGUUGCUCUCGUUAAACGUUGAUUUUAUCUCUACACACUGAAAUUUCGCAGAAUUUGGUAAUUUUUUGCCGAACUUUCCACAGCUGAACGCAAGGGGCAAAUCACUCUAAACUUUGUCUGAAAACAAGUAAGAUUUAAAGGGAGUAUAAAAGUUUAAUAGGGAUCGCAUGUGAUUAGAAUGGGAUUAGAAAAGUUUAGCCGAGAUCUGGCAAGAUUCAACAGCAAAAUGCUCGUCAAGAUGUGGUUUGUCUUAACUCAACAAAAUGUGUUUCACCCGGGUUAUCUUAUAAGUCGCAUAAGACGUAAGCGAGUGAAAGAUAAAUAAAUGAUUCCAACAAUACUGGUUGAUUUCGAAUCAAAGAUGUUCUUGAUAAAGGAUUUAGAGAACAAAUUAUGCGGAGUAUGACGAGUCCUCUUCGUUAUUUGGUCCAACUCUACACUGAUAAAAACAAGUCGGAUCGAUUUAUAUGUAGCACUUUAAAUAAAUUUAACGAAGUCAUAGGAGCUGCUGACAAAAUGCUAACACUUAGUUGAUGAAUCAUGUUCGUCAUUAAUCAACAAAAUGCAUUGCCACCCGGUUCUACUAAGGAUCUCUCCAAAAAAUCAAAAUCUGGUAUUCCAUGUGCCAAAGAUUAGUUUUUUUAUAUAAUUUCAUGUGUUAUGUAAUAGUCAUAAAAUGCUACGAACUUGAUGAAGUACAAUUCUUUUGAGAAAAACUA